This is a small nucleolar RNA of Tympanuchus pallidicinctus (lesser prairie-chicken), 64 nucleotides long. RefSeq annotates it as small nucleolar RNA Z39. Lineage: Eukaryota; Metazoa; Chordata; Aves; Galliformes; Phasianidae. The record is from RefSeq and is a predicted model, not a curated record. The transcript has a single exon.
GUACAGAUGAUGAGCUCUGCAGUAUUGAGUAGAAACGCUGAUGCUGUAAACGCUUUCUGAUGUG